Molecule: ribosomal RNA, 553 nt
Filed under: Micrococcus luteus
Lineage: Bacteria; Bacillati; Actinomycetota; Actinomycetes; Micrococcales; Micrococcaceae
Description: bacterial SSU rRNA
Rfam family: Bacterial small subunit ribosomal RNA
Source: RNAcentral
GCAGGUCUCUGGGCUGUAACUGACGCUGGAGGAGCGAAAGCAUGGGGACGUGAACAGGAUUAGAUACCCUGGUAGUCCAUGCCGUAAACGUUGGGAACUAGGUGUGGGGACCAUUCCACGGUUUCCGCGCCGCAGCUAACGCAUUAAGUGCCCCGCCUGGGGAGUACGGCCGCAAGGCUAAAACUCAAAGGAAUUGACGGGGGCCCGCACAAGCGGCGGAGCAUGCGGAUUAAUUCGAUGCAACGCGAAGAACCUUACCAAGGCUUGACAUGUUCUCGAUCGCCGUAGAGAUACGGUUUCCCCUUUGGGGCGGGUUCACAGGUGGUGCAUGGUUGUCGUCAGCUCGUGUCGUGAGAUGUUGGGUUAAGUCCCGCAACGAGCGCAACCCUCGUUCCAUGUUGCCAGCACGUAGUGGUGGGGACUCAUGGGAGACUGCCGGGGUCAACUCGGAGGAAGGUGAGGACGACGUCAAAUCAUCAUGCCCCUUAUGUCUUGGGCUUCACGCAUGCUACAAUGGCCGGUACAAUGGGUUGCGAUACUGUGAGGUGGAGCU